RNAcentral lists this ribosomal RNA (433 nucleotides) under uncultured bacterium. RNAcentral describes it as "partial 16S ribosomal RNA". It matches the Rfam family "Bacterial small subunit ribosomal RNA", at positions 29 to 507 of the family's 1533-position model. The record is from RNAcentral.
AACGAACGCUGGCGGCAUGCCUAACACAUGCAAGUCGAACGAGACCUUCGGGUCUAGUGGCGCACGGGUGCGUAACGCGUGGGAACCUUCCCUUAUGUUCGGAAUAACUCCCCGAAAGGGGUGCUAAUACCGGAUAAUGUCUUCGGACCAAAGAUUUAUCGCCUUUGGAUGGGCCCGCGUUGGAUUAGCUAGUUGGUAGGGUAAAAGCCUACCAAGGCGACGAUCCAUAGCUGGUCUGAGAGGAUGAUCAGCCACACUGGGACUGAGACACGGCCCAGAAUACUACGGGAGGGAGCAGUGGGGAAUAUUGGAAAAUGGGCGAAAGCCUGAUCCAGCAAUGCCGCGUGAGUGAUGAAGGCCUUAGGGUUGUAAAGCUCUUUUACCCGGGAUGAUAAUGACAGUACCGGGAGAAUAAGCUCCGGCUAACUCCGUG